ACGUAGGGGGCAAGCGUUACUCGGAAUUACUGGGCGUAAAGGGUGAGUAGGCGGCUGGGCAAGUCAAGGAUGAAAUCCCGAGGCUCAACUUCGGAACCGUCCGUGAAACUGCACAGCUUGAGGGUGGUUGAGGAGAGAGGAAUUCCCGGUGGAGCGGUGAAAUGCGGUAAUCCCGGGGGGAACACCUGAGGCGAAGGCGGCUCACCAGGCUGCUCCUGACAGUGAGUCACGAAAGCUAGGGGAGCAAACGG
This 251-nucleotide ribosomal RNA is filed under the name uncultured prokaryote. RNAcentral describes it as "partial 16S rRNA". It matches the Rfam family "Bacterial small subunit ribosomal RNA", at positions 525 to 775 of the family's 1533-position model. The record is from RNAcentral.